RNAcentral lists this transfer RNA (74 nucleotides) under Euplotes vanleeuwenhoeki. RNAcentral describes it as "tRNA-Met". It matches the Rfam family "tRNA". Rfam says of the family: Transfer RNA (tRNA) molecules are approximately 80 nucleotides in length. Their secondary structure includes four short double-helical elements and three loops (D, anti-codon, and T loops). Lineage: Eukaryota; Ciliophora; Spirotrichea; Euplotida; Euplotidae. The record is from RNAcentral.
AGCAACGUAGUUUAAUUGGUAAAACGCAAAUUUCAUGAGUUUGAAGUUAUAAGUUCGAAUCUUAUCGUUGUUAC